GAAUAUUGCACAAUGAGCGAAAGCUUGAUGCAGCGACGCCGCGUGAGGGAUGACGGCUUUCGGGUUGUAAACCUCUUUCGGUAGGGAACAAGGCCAUGUUUUUGCAUGGUUGAGGGUACCUGUAUAAGAAGCGCCGGCUAACUACGUGCCAGCAGCCGCGGUAAUACGUAGGGCGCGAGCGUUGUCCGGAAUUAUUGGGCGUAAAGGGCUCGUAGGCGGCUUGUCACGUCUGCUGUGAAAACGCGGGGCUUAACUCCGCGCUUGCAAUGGGUACGGGCAGGCUUGAGUAUAGUAGGGGAGACUGGAAUUCCUGGUGUAGCGGUGGAAUGCGCAGAUAUCAGGAGGAACACCGAUGGCGAAGGCAGGUCUCUGGGCUAUAACUGACGCUGAGGAGCGAAAGCAUGGGGAGCGAACAGG
This 417-nucleotide ribosomal RNA is filed under the name uncultured bacterium. RNAcentral's name for it is "bacterial SSU rRNA". It matches the Rfam family "Bacterial small subunit ribosomal RNA", at positions 359 to 776 of the family's 1533-position model. The record is from RNAcentral.